ACGAAAAUUACUAUUAUUGUAGAAAACGCAAUAUUCAUUUUAAAAUAUAACUGAAAAGUAGAAGAGAUGUGUAUCAAAUAUUAUGUAAUGUUAAAAUUGUCAGUGUUAUUCUUGGUGCUUUUUACCUUUCUAUAAAAUGAAAAUAAUUGUUAUGUGCAUUGCCUAGGGUAACUUUUAAUGGCAUGCUUCUGUCAAUAACCCUUACUCAUUUGUCAACCAAAAGUGGUUCAUUUUAUUAUACUCUGUUGAAAACUAAUAACUGUUGUAGUAAAUAUUGUUCAGGUAAAAAAUCUGUUAAAUGUACAGUAAAGUAUUAUAAACAAAUAUUUAGGUUAACCUAUUCCUCCGAGCAAUUUUAUGCCAUUAACUUUUUAUACCCCAACUUACUGAAGCUGCAGUCAAAAGCAAUCAUUGGGUGUGGUCCAUCUGCUCUAUAUGUCUCUUAACUCCUUUU
This 454-nucleotide long non-coding RNA is filed under the name Mytilus galloprovincialis (Mediterranean mussel). The record is from RNAcentral. Lineage: Eukaryota; Metazoa; Mollusca; Bivalvia; Mytilida; Mytilidae.